This is a non-coding RNA of Chlorocebus sabaeus (green monkey), 89 nucleotides long. Lineage: Eukaryota; Metazoa; Chordata; Mammalia; Primates; Cercopithecidae. The record is from Rfam.
GACUACCAUGUCAGUACUAAUCAAUUAGCACUAUUACAUAGGUGCUUUUAUGUACUUCGUGCAUUACUGCUAGUCCCCAUGUAUAUAUA